This 497-nucleotide long non-coding RNA is filed under the name Felis catus (domestic cat). RNAcentral describes it as "lncRNA (ENSFCAG00000043624.1)". Lineage: Eukaryota; Metazoa; Chordata; Mammalia; Carnivora; Felidae. The record is from RNAcentral.
GAGAGCCCUCAUCACAGUGACGGCCUCCACUGUAUACAUGGGGGCAUAAAACUGCGGGUUCGUGGAUGCACAAUAUUUGGCCACAUCUUCCAUUGAAAACGAAACCGGAAGUACCGUGGCCCCAGUUUGUGGAAAUGUCCAGCUGGAACAGCGUGGUGCAGACUUCCAGAAGCCACAGAGGACAGAUACACUCCCAGGAGACCUGAAGGACCCUAACAGAGUGCCUGAAAGCCAACAUCUCUCAACCAUAAGCCCCAAUCCAACCAUCAGCGGAACACAUCUGUUAGAAGGAGCACCAACCACCAGACGCUUUCUUUCUACCACACAAGAAAUGGCUUUUUCACUCAACAAAACAAUCUGGGACGGAGUUUCUACCAUUAACUACAUCAUGCGACACUGUCAUCGUUUCCACAUCUUAUCCCACCAAACCACUCAGGCUCCUCGAGGGCGCCGACUGUGGACUUGGUCCCUGUGCCCCUGGGUGUCCGCCCUCCCAC